GAAGGAUGCUUGCCAGUGGAAAUAUCUGAGCUUUCAUAGAAAUUACACAGCAAGAGAUGUCGAAGAACCAGAGCAGCCAACUUAAAUUGAAGAUAACCAUUCCCCAAGGAAGUGAUGGUGGCAUCAUUAACCAUAUCAAGCAUUUCCUGAGCUCAAAGCCCAAGAAAUACCUCAUCUGAACUUGUGGGAUUUCCAGACUAGAAUGUCUCUAAGUAACAGCCAAAUCGCAGUGAAGGGAGAUGGUGUUUGCAUGGUGGAGCACACUCUGAGGUCCCUGGCACCCCAAAGAAAGCAAAAUGCACAUGAAACUAGACAUCCUUCAAGCCAAGUAAUAAGAGCUCGCAGCCUGAGGCAUUGAACUACAUUGAACAUAAAAGCC
RNAcentral lists this long non-coding RNA (379 nucleotides) under Microcebus murinus (gray mouse lemur). RNAcentral's name for it is "lncRNA (ENSMICG00000048595.1)". The record is from RNAcentral. Lineage: Eukaryota; Metazoa; Chordata; Mammalia; Primates; Cheirogaleidae.